Molecule: ribosomal RNA, 442 nt
Filed under: uncultured bacterium
Lineage: Bacteria
Description: bacterial SSU rRNA
Rfam family: Bacterial small subunit ribosomal RNA
Source: RNAcentral
CCUACGGGAGGCAGCAGUGGGGAAUAUUGCACAAUGGGGGAAACCCUGAUGCAGCAACGCCGCGUGAGCGAUGAAGGCCUUCGGGUCGUAAAGCUCUGUCCUAAGGGAAGAAUACUGACGGUACCUCCAGAAGAAGGCCCGGCUAACUACGUGCCAGCAGCCGCGGUAAUACGUAGGGGCCAAACGUUGUCCGGAUUUAUUGGGCGUAAAGGGCUCGUAGGCGGUUCAACAAGUCGGUCGUGAAAACCCGGGGCUCAACCCCGGGACGCCGGUCGAAACUGUUGUGACUAGGGUCCGGUAGAGGUGAGUGGAAUCCUCGGUGUAGCGGUGGAAUGCGCAGAUAUCGAGAGGAACACCAGUAGCGAAGGCGGCUCACUGGGCCGGUACCGACGCUGAGGAGCGAAAGCGUGGGGAGCGAACAGGAUUAGAUACCCUUGUAGUC